CUCAAAGCCUAUGUCGAGAGUCAUGGCUAUAUCCCCCAGGCGAUCCUCGGUUCCUAUGAGGUUUGUCCCAAGUUAAUGAACCCUCCAGGGACACUUGGACUGGGGGUUCUAACUAUUACAGCCAGGAUUGCAAAGUCUGGAGAGGGUAAAACAAGGGAACAUGGGUUCGUGCCCUGGUCCAGGAAGAUCCCACAUGCCGCGGAGCAAUUGAGCCCCUGCGCCACAGCUACUGAGCCCACGCGCCACAACUACUGAGCCCGUGUGUCACAACUACUGAAGCCCAUGCCCACAACUACUGAAGCCUGCGCGCCUAGAGCCCGUGCUCUGCAACAGAGAAGCCACCACAAUGAGAAGCCCGAGUGCUCCAAUGACGAGUAGACCCUGCUCGCCACAACUAGAGAAAGCCCCGGUGCAGCAACGAAGACCCAA
This is a long non-coding RNA of Lagenorhynchus albirostris (white-beaked dolphin), 429 nucleotides long. RefSeq lists it as uncharacterized. Lineage: Eukaryota; Metazoa; Chordata; Mammalia; Artiodactyla; Delphinidae. The record is from RefSeq and is a predicted model, not a curated record. The transcript is spliced from 3 exons.